UGUAGCAUAGCUCAAUGGAUAGAGCACCGCAGAUAGCUAAUCACUCAUGCGGUUGGUGGUGGUUCGAUUCCAUCUGCUACAG
RNAcentral lists this transfer RNA (82 nucleotides) under Allobaculum sp. Its description in RNAcentral is "tRNA-OTHER". It matches the Rfam family "tRNA". Rfam says of the family: Transfer RNA (tRNA) molecules are approximately 80 nucleotides in length. Their secondary structure includes four short double-helical elements and three loops (D, anti-codon, and T loops). Lineage: Bacteria; Bacillati; Bacillota; Erysipelotrichia; Erysipelotrichales; Erysipelotrichaceae. The record is from RNAcentral.